ACAACAAUGCUUGUCGAGUGGAAACGUAAGUAAGGACUGAAGAUGGAUGAAAAGGGAGAAAGCAAGGGAGGGGAAAACAAAGAGACAGACCAGCUCUACACCCAGAAGCAAGGAAACUGCUGUUUAUAAGCAGCUCCUGUUUGCCAGAUGUUACAAUGAUAUAAUUUCAUAAUGAUCCUGACAGUGAGGUAUGACUGUAUCCAUCCGACAGGUACGUUCCUGAGCCCUAGAGAGCAUCACAAUCUAUGCUGAAGUCACUUGGCCAGGAUUCAACGCCAAGUCUGAGUCCAGAGAUCAGAACCCACUGCAUCUCAACAGGCUGUUUCCCAGAAGGAAGCAGCACUCAGCAUCACAAGGACAGAGACCAAGGAAUCUCUCUGCAGAGGUCACGGAUGGACUUAAGUCCAGGAGCCCAAGGGAGAGCGGAAGGAAGCUGGAGAGCCCAGAGCCUGCCCCUGACCCUGACUGUAAGUUCCAUGCCCUCUCUGAUCCUUCAUUCACCCGUAGGAAAAAGGAGAGUAAUGAGGGAUCUCUUAAAGCCCUCCCAGGUCUGGAGUCCCAUCAAUCUAUGGUAAUAACUUCCACAUCCAAGAGAUGAUGGGCUGCAGAUAUCCCGGAGAGAAUAAAAGAGGAUGUUUUAAGGCACUUGCCUUAGUGUUUACCAUUCAAGAUCUCAUUUAAUCCUUAUACCCACCUUAGGAGGUUGAAUCAUAGUAACCCUAGCUCUUGGUGGUGGUGGUAUUUUAGUUACUCAGUUCAGUUCAGUUCAGUUCAGUCGCUCAGUCGUGUC
This 790-nucleotide long non-coding RNA is filed under the name Capra hircus (goat). RNAcentral describes it as "lncRNA (ENSCHIG00010020439.1)". Lineage: Eukaryota; Metazoa; Chordata; Mammalia; Artiodactyla; Bovidae. The record is from RNAcentral.